UACAGAGACCUCAAGCGUUAUCCGGAUUUACUGGGCGUAAAGGGUCCGCAGGUGGUCUUGCGCGUCGAUGGUUAAAUGUACGGGCUCAACUCGUACGCCGCCGUCGAUACGGCAAGACUAGAGGUCGGAAGAGGUAGGCGGAAUUACCGGUGUAGUAGUAAUAUGCGUUAAUAUCGGUAAGAACACCAAAAGCGUAGGCAGCCUACUGGAACGCACCUGACACUCAGGGACGAAAGCGUGGGGAGCGAAAGGG
This 253-nucleotide ribosomal RNA is filed under the name uncultured bacterium. RNAcentral describes it as "partial 16S ribosomal RNA". It matches the Rfam family "Bacterial small subunit ribosomal RNA", at positions 524 to 776 of the family's 1533-position model. The record is from RNAcentral.